Xylariaceae sp. AK1471 is the source of this 97-nucleotide non-coding RNA. Lineage: Eukaryota; Fungi; Ascomycota; Sordariomycetes; Xylariales; Xylariaceae. The record is from the annotation of a GenBank genome assembly.
GCCCUGGUAGCUCAAUUGGUUAGAGCGUCGGACUUUUACGGAUUCAUGCUGUAAUCGAGUCAUCCGAAGGCUGCGGGUUCGACCCCCGCCUGGGGCG